Patella vulgata (common limpet) is the source of this 622-nucleotide long non-coding RNA. RefSeq lists it as uncharacterized. The record is from RefSeq and is a predicted model, not a curated record. Lineage: Eukaryota; Metazoa; Mollusca; Gastropoda; Patellidae. The transcript has 5 exons.
GAACAGACAACAAAUGCUGCUGCGACAUGCAAGGCAGAUAUACUUUCUAAUGAAUGUCCAUUAACUGGUUUGAAAAAUAACCCAACCACAGAUGAGGAAAUUCAAGCUUCUUGCGGGAUCUUCAAGACAUAUUUCACCUGUGUUGAUACAGUAAUAUCAACUUGUUCUCAGACUGUCAGAGAUACCGUCGAAGCAAGACUAGAUCCAUAUAAGACCCAGUAUAAUGAAACAUGUGCCGUAGAGCAGACAACAUGCAAGGCAGAUAUACUUUCUGAUGAAUGUCCAUUAACUGGUUUGAAAAAUAACCCGACCACAGAUGAGGAAAUUCAAGCUUCUUGCGGGAUCUUCAAGACAUAUUUCACCUGUGUUGAUACAGUAAUAUCAACUUGUUCUCAGACUGUCAGAGAUACUGUCGAAGCAAGACUAGAUACAUAUAAAACCCAGUAUAAUGAGAUAUGUGCAGGUAUGGCGAUUAGUCCAUGGAAUACCGGUGUCUACCUUAUUAUUGCCUUGGUUAUUUUCACCUACGAUAGAUUUGUUUAAAUCGUCCCUGGAAAGAAAACGUCGUUGAUAUGUAUAAAGACAGCAACCCGAAUUUUAAAGUUGUGACAAUCAGACAUUC